This 301-nucleotide ribosomal RNA is filed under the name uncultured bacterium. Its description in RNAcentral is "partial 16S ribosomal RNA". It matches the Rfam family "Bacterial small subunit ribosomal RNA", at positions 512 to 808 of the family's 1533-position model. The record is from RNAcentral.
CAGUCGCCGGGUAAUACAGAGGGUGCGAGCGUUAAUCGGAUUUACUGGGCGUAAAGCGUGCGUAGGCGGCUUUUUAAGUCGGAUGUGAAAUCCCUGAGCUUAACUUAGGAAUUGCAUUCGAUACUGGGAAGCUAGAGUAUGGGAGAGGAUGGUAGAAUUCCAGGUGUAGCGGUGAAAUGCGUAGAGAUCUGGAGGAAUACCGAUGGCGAAGGCAGCCAUCUGGCCUAAUACUGACGCUGAGGUACGAAAGCAUGGGGAGCAAACAGGAUUAGAUACCCCCGUAGUCCCUGUCUCUUAUACA